RNAcentral lists this ribosomal RNA (492 nucleotides) under uncultured bacterium. RNAcentral describes it as "bacterial SSU rRNA". It matches the Rfam family "Bacterial small subunit ribosomal RNA", at positions 903 to 1397 of the family's 1533-position model. The record is from RNAcentral.
AAAGGAAUAGACGGGGGCCCGCACAAGCGGAGGAACAUGUGGUUUAAUUCGAUGAUACGCGAGGAACCUUACCCGGGCUUAAAUUGCAGACGAAUUACGAGGAAACUUGUAAGCCGCAAGGCGUCUGUGAAGGUGCUGCAUGGUUGUCGUCAGCUCGUGCCGUGAGGUGUCGGCUUAAGUGCCAUAACGAGCGCAACCCUCGUGGUCAGUUACUAACAGGUUAAGCUGAGGACUCUGGCCAGACUGCCAUCGUAAGAUGUGAGGAAGGUGGGGAUGACGUCAAAUCAGCACGGCCCUUACGUCCGGGGCUACACACGUGUUACAAUGGGAGGUACAGAAGGCAGCUACCCGGCGACGGGAUGCCAAUCCCCAAAACCUCUCUCAGUUCGGACUGGAGUCUGCAACCCGACUCCACGAAGCUGGAUUCGCUAGUAAUCGCGCAUCAGCCACGGCGCGGUGAAUACGUUCCCGGGCCUUGUACACACCGCCCGU